Molecule: ribosomal RNA, 406 nt
Filed under: uncultured bacterium
Lineage: Bacteria
Description: bacterial SSU rRNA
Rfam family: Bacterial small subunit ribosomal RNA
Source: RNAcentral
GUGGGGAAUCUUGCACAAUGGGGGAAACCCUGAUGCAGCGACGCCGCGUGAAGGAUGAAGUAUUUCGGUAUGUAAACUUCUAUCAGCAGGGAAGAAAGUGACGGUACCUGACUAAGAAGCCCCGGCUAACUACGUGCCAGCAGCCGCGGUAAUACGUAGGGGGCAAGCGUUAUCCGGAUUUACUGGGUGUAAAGGGAGCGUAGACGGGAUAGCAAGUCUGAAGUGAAAGCCCGGGGCUCAACCCCGGGACUGCUUUGGAAACUGUUGACCUGGAGUGCUGGAGAGGCAAGUGGAAUUCCUAGUGUAGCGGUGAAAUGCGUAGAUAUUAGGAGGAACACCAGUGGCGAAGGCGGCUUGCUGGACAGUGACUGACGUUGAGGCUCGAAAGCGUGGGGAGCAAACAGGA